RNAcentral lists this long non-coding RNA (3860 nucleotides) under Androctonus crassicauda. Lineage: Eukaryota; Metazoa; Arthropoda; Arachnida; Scorpiones; Buthidae. The record is from RNAcentral.
GCCGCUUCGAAACAUCUCCCAGAUCAGCCCGAUACCACCACUAUUCAGUAUUAAAAUAAUAGAACCGGGAUAGGCCGGCGCUAUGGCCGUUGGAAAAAGUUUUUGAAAAUAGCGCCGUCACAACACUCGUUCUAAUUAACGGACUCCUUCUAAAUACGUCUAGUACGCCUGCGCCGAAAAAAACAUGGAUACCGAACGGCGGCCGCUCCGCUCGAAUAUCCGUGUUUACAGUCGGAUGGAAUACAGUAAGAACCAACAACGCGCCGAUUCGGCAGUCCAGUCGACAAAAAAGACGUAAUGUGUCUUCCGCCUUAUUCAAGAAAAAAAAAGGAAGAGAUGGAGAUAUAUUUUACGUCAUCGAUUACAUACAUUCGUUAUUGUUUCUCCUGCAACGCAGCCAUUAUCUUUAGUGUUGGUUAUUAAUUUGAAUUUUGGCAUAUCCACGGAUACGGAGAUGAUAGGCCGCCUAAAUGAAGAGGUAACGAAUUUUAAUCCGUUUUUCAUUAGACUGUUUCGACGCUUAUUUUUUCAAGCUUUUUAUUCCAAAAUGAAAAAAAAAAAUUAUAUUAGGUUAGUCCCGUGUCUGUUUCAGCCGUAUCCUGAAACACCAUAACAGUUUUGAAUAUUAUCCCUUUAAUUACGGUAUGGGGAUAAGUAGCGUAUGGAGAAUAGUCGACGUGGGGUAAGUAAUACCGACCUAACCGAGGAAAAUAUUUUCCGGUAUCUUUUAGCCGUAAUAUGGAUGGAUGGGAUACAUGGGAAGUAAAUUGACGUAUAAAACGGCACCAGGGAACCAGCCAUGCCUACGGAAAACCAUGGAUACGUGAUGACGCUGUCCGUACGUCCACAGGCCGAAACCGAUGCUAUAACGGGUGGCCGUUUUUAAAUCUUGAGGUACAAUAUUUCGGAAAGCCAAUAAAAUCCGUCUUACGGCCCAAAGUACCAAUUUUCCGUUAUUCAUUUGGCAGGUAUUUGGUCGUCCGGAACGUGGAAGCGUAGCUGCGGCCCUAUAGCCGGCCGAUAAGGCACUAUUUUUAUCACAUUAAUUUUUGGGAAUUAGUUAAACUCGCGAAACUCUUUUCUUAUUUCUGUAUGGCUACGAUAACGGUAGUUUAUUGUCACCGACCAAUUUUAUGACUUAUGUCCGAUGCCGAAAAUAUUAACAAGGAACGGGGUGAAAAGUCGGUAGCGGAGAGGAAAAUUUCGACUUAGCGCCUUCAAAUGUGGUAGAAAACCAGCCGAGUACGGUGUCAGACCGGCGAAAGUUAACUACCGUAUAUCAAUCAUUUUAAUUACUGUCAGCCGUUCCGUUUGGCGCAACAAAAAUGUCGGUGGAGAAAAUUCUCUUCCCGUCCUUAAUAAUUUAAAAUUUUGUCUCCAAACAAGAUGUUUUUGUAUUUUCUCCGGUAAUUGAGUCGGAGCGAGAUUAUCGAUUUUUCUCCGUGCAAAAUUUGAAUCCAGACGGUGGCUGAUGGCCGGUCUUCACCACUAAAUUACCUUAGCGGUGACAGUGGGCCACCUUCCCAGGCGCGGCCACCACCAUAUCCAACCUUAUUUGGUGGGCGCAACUAAAAUACCAAAUACGGUUACCACUCAUGAGAAUGUCCGUUUCUAUACGGAUAAAGACGGAAAUUUUGGACCGAUUUUAUUCCACUUAAUACGUAUAAUCCGAUACAUUAAGUCGAAUAAAACCGGUUCAAAGUUUGUUUCGGCUCCGUCCGAGUUUGGUCGGCUUUUCCAACGGCCCGAUGGAAACAGUCCCGCUUGGCACCCACCGGUCCGGAAUCGAUUCCGGUAGUCGUACCUGGACCGAUGUCUGUAGGGAUUUUUAGCCUGGGUGUGAAUGGGGCCGGUGGGCAAAAAUCCGCCGACGGUUAGAAAACCGGUUUCCCUACCGUCUGCAAGAAAAUCGCGAAUUGAUUCAGCGGGGGAGACGAAAACUAACGACGGAGAAAGAAAGAGGGAGGUAGACUGUGCCAGCGGAUGGUGGACCAGUAAGAAAGGAAGGGAAAAUGGGGACGAGUGUUUUAAUUGGCAGCCGAUAAGUUUCUGAUCCCUACAGCUUCUUAUCGAAUUGCGCCUCCGCUAAUUUGUUUUAGAAAAAACAGUUACCGGGCCUAAAGGCGCCGUCUACCAUCGACUCCCCUAGGACACAGUGGCCGAAACGCCAACCAGGUAACAGCUCGGCUUUUUAAAGGUGCGACGGCCUAUAAAGACGAUAGAGUACCAUCGACGUUCAGACCUCAGGUUGGGAAAGGGGAUAAUGGCCGUAUCGUAAAAAGUUACUGCCCAUUCGACGGUUUAAUCCGCUAAAUAUUUGGUGGCGCGGCGGAUUUAUAAAAAAACCGACAAUAUAAUCCGCCCCAUAAAUCCGGAAUUAGACCAAAUACCGGAAAGUAUAUCGGUCUAUUUGUCGGGCGUAGACAGCUUUCCCACAAGAUUUCUCCGGCCAAAAAUUCACACUAAAGGCUUUAAUCCGGACACUACUAACCAGAAAAAGUGAUAGUUAGAAUUAGGAUCCGAUUCCACUCCCCGCGCGAUCUGUCGACAUGGGCGGAAUUAUUAAUUCUCCGUGACGAAACAUUAAUGUUUACCCGUUUCUCCAGAAUAUUUGGCCGGCGGGUAGAUCCCAAUACCGUAAAAACAGUAAAAAGUACCGCGCUAAAUGAUGCGAUAUUCUUGAUGGUAAGGAUAAUUAAAUAAUUUCUCCGGUUUGGGGCCGUCACCCUUUCUAACACAUUUCCGGUACAUCCUCCCACGGCGAAAAUACACCGGUCUCUAAGAUUUCUUGGCCUUAGAAAGAAAUACGGUGAUCCCGCGCCUCCUCUUCCCACCUAAUAGACGUAGGUGGAUCGGAAAGUGCCUGGCAGACCGUCUCCCCGGAUUCGAAACUGAUCAGCCUCCCCGACCUUCGGGAGGAGUCCGGGACCGGUGCCUUCCAUCCCACCAGCCCAUUUCCGGUGGCCCCCGAGACUCGAUCCACCGACAUUAUCGUAAAAUCGGGGGACGUACUAAGCGGGAAUCACACCGGGAACAUUCCGAUCGGUGGUCCGGAAUGCAGAGGCAUCGACCCAGGCAUCGGUUGGUUUAGGUGGAUGCGCCGCUGCCUAUGGCGCCGUCUGGACACAUUGGAAUAGACGGAUAAUUUAUAUUAGGAAGGGAAUUUUUUACGGGGAAUAGCGGCCCGAAAUUCCGCUAAGAGUAGGUUGGUAGGGAAAUAAGGGACGUUUUCGAAGGCGCAUAAAAACGAAUUUAAAACGAUUUAUCUGGGGAAGUAUUAUCCCGGGUGCCGAUAAAAUUUGUCUGAACUUUCAGACGCGGGAGCAACCGGAACCACCAAGGAUAAAUUGUAAAAGGCGGGAAUACCCAUUUCGGCCACUCGAUUCCUCGAUUAUACCGAGUUUUCCUCACCCGCGCCUGGGAGGGGAAAACUCGGCAAAAUCGAGGAAUUAACACCGUCCCGGAUAACGAUCUUUCCAGUCGGCAUCCGAGGUUAAAACUAAUCCGGAUAGGCCGGAGCCGAAUAAACGUCAGAAGACGUUUUCCAUCCAUUUUCCGAAUAUCUUAUCGCCGUCCGAUGGCAGCCAGCAAAUAGUUGGGACGAAAGUACCGACCACUAAUAUUUGGGUCGGUACUUUCGUAGAAAGGCUGGGCCCGAACCAAACGCUGCCUAUUAGCCGGUAAUUAUUCCUCCCACUUCUCCAUCCGCCCAGUCCGGCCUAAUAAGAGUCGAAAGGAAUACCGGACAGGCAAAUAGUCACUGGUUAAUUAGGAGCGGCCACCACCGAGACAUCCGUGACGGUUUUUUUUGGUCGACAGAUGACGCCAUUUUUCAUUCUGUAAGAACACUAAGUGACGGG